This 383-nucleotide ribosomal RNA is filed under the name uncultured eukaryote. RNAcentral's name for it is "SSU rRNA". It matches the Rfam family "Eukaryotic small subunit ribosomal RNA", at positions 587 to 972 of the family's 1831-position model. The record is from RNAcentral.
AGCUCUCAAAGUGUAUAUCGUCAUUGCUGCGGUUAAAAAGCUCGUAGUUGGAUUUAAGCUCGAUGACUCGGUCCAUCCAUAGGAUGAGAACUGAGCUCAUCGGCUAAUCAUCGGCUGGUUUUGCCUAGGUGGCUUUAAACGGUCGCCUAGGCUGGCUAGCAAGUUUACUUUGAAAAAAUUAGAGUGCUCAACGCGGGCUUAAUGCCUGAAUAGUCGUGCAUGGAAUAAUGGAAUAGGAUUUCGGUUCUAUUUUGUUGGUUUUUUUAACCGAAAUAAUGGUUAAGAGGGACAGACGGGGGCAUUCGUAUCGCUACGUGAGAGGUGAAAUUCUUGGACCGUAGCGAGACGCCCGACUGCGAAAGCAUUUGCCAAGAAUGUCUUCA